UUUAUGCGUUUCAAUUUCAUUUAUCUGUGAUUUCCAUUCUUCACCUUGUCUUAUACAUCUGUGUUAUUUCUUUUAACAAAAGGGGAGAGGAAAUUUCUUUAUUAAUCACCCCCAACAAUAACUAAAAGGGAGGAAAAAACACUUUAUAGACUUCACUCGAGUGACAUUUUUGUGCGGUAAUACGUAAAAUUUAUACUUAAAAAACUUAUUUUUUAAAAGCCGUUCUUAUGUUUUAUAAAAAUAAGUUAUACACGCUUUAAAAAUAUUAAAAAUCUGACUCUCGUGUGGCAGAUUUGGUGUUUUAGAUAAUGCUUUUCUUUGCUGUGUCGCGUAAACACGUGGAGUGUGUGCGUAUCAGAAAUUUAGGUGGUUUUUUUUAGAUUUCUGGAUAUAAAACCGGGUUAUAUUCAUUUUUUAAUCUUAAAUCUUUCUCGCUAAGGGUGAUAAGAAGAUCCCUUUCGUGCCUAUUUUAGACCUUCCCAUAAUGUAAAAAGCCGUAAGGGGUGUGAACCGUAUACCGGGUCAACUUACCUUAAUUUUGAGAUCUAAACUACAAACUAGUCUAUUGUUCUGGAGGAACCGGAGUUUAGGUCACGACCUUAACCUUUUAUUACCUGUGAUGUUUAUCAUGAAAACACUGCAAGAUUUGCUGUUUAUUAUAUAUUUUUUCUUAACUAUAUUAUUAGUAUUUUUCCCUUAUUAAACUACAUUCUCUUUUAACUACCAUCCAAUUUCCUCAACAAAUCGUUUAUAAAAGUAGUGGGAAAAUUGCCAGCUAGACGAAAAGUCAGUUAACCGAAACAUAUUUUACAAUACUUAACUCGUUUAACCGACUUUUGGACCGGGCCGUAUCCAUUUUUUAAGUCAUUAAACAUACUUUACGAGCUUCUAAAUAAAUUUUUCUACCAUAGUUUUUUAAGAAACAAGAAGGAAAAUUGUUCAAUAAUCGCAUAUAAAUGCUAAUGCCCUGUGUUUCUUUUCCCAAUUAUAUUUUAAAAUAUAUUAUUUAUAUUUUUCAUUAUAGAAUAUUAUUAGAAGCUAUAUUUUUCCUUAAAGAUAUCAACUUCUCGAGUAAUAAAUUACGUUACCUUAGGCAAUAAAUAUGUUUUUUCUACAGAUAAUAUCGCACUUAGACAUAAUUUCCACCUUUUUUUUAAUAUCUAUAACACUUAAAUAAACCAAGUAUGCUUUUUUAAGCCACUAGAUGUGCCUUCCAAGAUAUUAAUUAUAUUAUUUUAAGUCUCCACCUUUCAGAAAAAAACCUUAUUUAUUUGAUUUCCCUGCGAGAUUUCUUUUAUUUUAAGCCCAACUCUCGAAGGAAGAAGGGGAAAAAUACGUUUUUAAGCAUCACUCGGGAGUUUCAUCCAUCUAGAAAGUCGUGUGUCUCCUAUUGUUUGCAUUGUUUUUUUUAUAUUGUUUAAUUUAUAGAUUUUCCAGUUUAAUUAUUUUAUAUAUUUUUUUAAAGAUUUUAUUGCCGUUUUUUUUUUCUUUUUAUGCAGAAAAAAUGAUAUUUAGGUGCGUUUUCGGUAGCUAAAAGGAGCGCUGUUUGGAUUAAUGGAGCUCAUCAAUCGAGUUGUGUCGUACAAAUUUUGCUUUUGAUUGUCAAGACGUGUAAAGUGUCGCCGCCUACAGGAAGAUUUCAGUAGUUGUUGAUGGGAAAUCGAUGGUGAAAUGUCUGCCUGUGUUGACGUGGUGUUUGUUUAAAAGGAUUGACAUCUGUAACUGGAGUGAUUAAAUCCAUAAAAUUUAUAAGAUAGAACCAACAGGAAGCGUAGAAAAUACGUUGGAAGUAUCAACUAAGUUUACUGCAACUACUACAAGAAUAUUAAAAUUAAUCG
Molecule: long non-coding RNA, 1838 nt
Filed under: Centruroides sculpturatus (bark scorpion)
Lineage: Eukaryota; Metazoa; Arthropoda; Arachnida; Scorpiones; Buthidae
Description: uncharacterized LOC111634521
Source: RNAcentral